GGCUGCGAGAAGUUGCUCUGCUCCACGCGAGCUUAAAAAACUGAUUUAAGUUAUUACAAUGCAAUUAAAGUUAGCGAAUGCAUUAAUAUACAAAAGAAUAAAUAAAUAAACGUAGACAUGUAAAGAGAGAUCCGUCUAUUCGUGUCUGUCUGCAUUUGCGGUAAGCAGACAGAUGUGGUCGUGGAAUUUGCAGGCACACUUUAUUAGCGGUUGGUGUUCUUAAGGGCCGGUUUUGGCAUAUUCUUCCAAGGCACUUCUGUUGCCACACAGAAAACCAGCCCUCUCAUCCACCCACGGACACGGCCAUGCUGGGCGUCCUACUCCCCUGCCUUCUUCUGGGUCUCCAAGCGUCCGGCGUGUCAGCGACAAAGGAGCCCAGCGCAGCCCGCUCCCUCGUGUGGGGCCCGGGGCUCCAGGCAGACGUCGUCCUGCCUGCGCGGUAUUUCUUCAUACAGGCUGUGGACGGGGCUGGAACAAGUUUUACAUCGUCCCCUGGCGAGAACACCUAUGAGGUAAAGAUCACCACUCCGGCGGAGGAGUUCACCCGCAUCUGGGUCCAGGUGCUGGACCGCAGGGAUGGCUCCUUCCUGGUCCGCUACAGGAUGUACGCCAGCUACCCAUCCCUGACCAUCGAGAUCCUACUCAAGGGCGUGCAUGUGGCCCAGUCACCAUACCACCUCAAAGGACCUGUGUAUCACGAUGGCUGUAGCUGCCCCCAGCCUCAGACCAAGGUUUGGCUGAAGCAUAUGCGCUGCCCAGACUCUGUGCCUCAGAUAGAGCAGGACCUGUCGUAUUUCCCCAGUGUGGACCCGGACCACCUUGCCCAGGAGGUGCCUCGCCGUUUCGGCCGGAGGCAAAGCUUAUGCCAUUAUACCAUCAAAGACAAUCAGAUUUAUAUUAAAACUCAUGGAGAACAUGUGGGAUUCAGAAUCUUCAUGGAUGCUUUUCUGCUCUCUCUGUCCAGGAAGGUGAAGUUGCCUGAUGUGGAGUUUUUUGUGAACCUUGGGGACUGGCCGCUGGAGAAGAGGAAGCCCUCAGAGAAACUGCAUCCCAUCUUUUCCUGGUGUGGUUCCAGUGACACGCGGGACAUCGUCAUGCCAACUUAUGACCUCACAGAAUCUGUCUUAGAGACAAUGGGGAGAGUGAGUUUGGACAUGAUGUCAGUGCAAGUCAACACGGGUCCCCCAUGGGAGGAGAAGAACAGCACAGCCUUCUGGAGAGGGCGAGACAGCCGCAAGGAGCGCCUGGAGCUGGUAAAGCUGAGCAGGGCUCACCCGGACCUGAUUGAUGCUGCGCUCACCAACUUUUUCUUCUUCGAGCACGAUGAGAGCCUGUAUGGGCCAGUGGUCAAACACGUCUCCUUCUUCGACUUCUUCAAGUACAAGUACCAGAUCAAUGUGGAUGGCACGGUAGCAGCCUACCGGCUGCCGUAUUUGUUGGCGGGAGGCGGCUUGGUGCUCAAGCAGGACUCUGAGUAUUAUGAGCACUUCUACAGCCAGCUUCAUCCCUGGGAACACUACAUCCCCAUCAAGAGGGACCUCAGUGACCUGUUGGACACGAUCCGCUGGGCCAAGGAGAACGACCAUGAGGCGAGAAGGAUUGCGGAGGCUGGUAAGCAGUUUGCCCGGACACACCUCAUGGGGGACAACAUAUUCUGUUACUACUUCAAACUAUUCGAGCUUUCCAGAACUAGUUUUACAAUGUGAAUUCAAGUAUGGAACAUUCUCUGCAAAGUUCUCAUGUUGGUGAGGGUGUCCUCCCACAGUCCAAGGACAUGUUUCAGGAGAGUGAUUAAAUUGAGGCAAUACUGAUGGGAUACCAGUCCAUCACGGGGCAAUCUCACAUACAAAAGGUAAAAGUUACAAUUUUACUUGAAGUUCUCACCUUUCUUUGUGCUCGCUCGCUCGCUCUUUCUCUCUCUCUCUCUCUCAUAGGAAUAUGCUGCUCGCCAGGUCACUGAACCCAAGGUGCGGGAAGGCAUGGAGAAAGUGGAGCAGCCAAAAGACGAUC
This is an RNA transcript of Scleropages formosus (Asian bonytongue), 2010 nucleotides long. It is a transcript of the gene named protein O-glucosyltransferase 2, with no coding region annotated. The transcript has 10 exons. The record is from RefSeq and is a predicted model, not a curated record. NCBI's taxonomy places the organism in Eukaryota, Metazoa, Chordata, Actinopteri, Osteoglossiformes, Osteoglossidae.